Molecule: transfer RNA, 83 nt
Filed under: Ackermannviridae sp.
Lineage: Duplodnaviria; Heunggongvirae; Uroviricota; Caudoviricetes; Pantevenvirales; Ackermannviridae
Description: tRNA-Lys
Rfam family: tRNA
About the family: Transfer RNA (tRNA) molecules are approximately 80 nucleotides in length.
Source: RNAcentral
UCAUUGGUAGGUAAGAGGUUAAAACCACCAGACUUUUAAUUUGGCAUCUUUAGAUUUCGAGGGUUCGAAUCCCUCCCAAUGAA